UACAGAGGUGGCAAGCGUUGUUCGGAUUCAUUGGGCGUAAAGGGUCCGCAGGCGGUCCACAAAGUCGGGUGUGAAAUCCUACAGCUUAACUGUAGAACUGCAUUCGAAACUCGUGGACUAGAGUGUGAGAGGGGUGGAGGGAAUUCCCAGUGUAAGGGUGAAAUCUGCAGAGAUUGGGAAGAACACCAGUCGCGAAGGCGCUUCACUGGCUCACUACUGACGCUCAGGGACGAAAGCUAGGGGAGCAAACGGG
Molecule: unclassified non-coding RNA, 253 nt
Filed under: uncultured bacterium
Lineage: Bacteria
Description: contains 16S-23S intergenic spacer region
Rfam family: Bacterial small subunit ribosomal RNA
Source: RNAcentral